GAUGAAGAACGCAGCGAAAUGCGAUAAGUAAUGUGAAUUGCAGAAUUCAGUGAAUCAUCGAAUCUUUGAACGCACCUUGCGCCCUUUGGCUAUUCCGAAGGGCAUGCCUGUUUGAGUAUCGUGAACACCUCAACUCUCAUGGUUUGCCAUGAUGAGCUUGGACUUGGGGGUUUUGCUGGCCUUCGGUCGGCUCCUCUCAAACGGAUCAGCUUUCCAGUGUUUGGUGGCGUCACGGGUGUGAUAACUAUCUACGCCUGUGGUUUUCUGCCAGAUAACCUUCAGCGAUGGAGGUUCGCUGGGGCUCAUAAAUGUCUCUCUUCAGUGGAGACAGCUUUUUGGACGUUUGAUCUCAAAUCAGGUAGGACUACCCGCUGAACUUAAGCAUAUCAAUAAGCGGAGGA
RNAcentral lists this unclassified non-coding RNA (401 nucleotides) under soil metagenome. Its description in RNAcentral is "partial contains 5.8S ribosomal RNA, internal transcribed spacer 2, and large subunit ribosomal RNA". The stretch from base 1 to 121 matches the Rfam family "5.8S ribosomal RNA", at positions 35 to 154 of the family's 154-position model. The record is from RNAcentral.